CCUACGGGUGGCAGCAGUGAGGAAUAUUGGUCAAUGGACGAGAGUCUGAACCAGCCAAGUAGCGUGAAGGAUGACUGCCCUAUGGGUUGUAAACUUCUUUUAUAUGGGAAUAAAACGUUCCACGUGUGGGAUUUUGUAUGUACCAUAUGAAUAAGGAUCGGCUAACUCCGUGCCAGCAGCCGCGUUAAUACGGAGGAUCCGAGCGUUAUCCGGAUUUAUUGGGUUUAAAGGGAGCGUAGGUGGAUUGUUAAGUCAGUUGUGAAAGUUUGCGGCUCAACCGUAAAAUUGCAGUUGAAUCUGGCAGUCUUGAGUACAGUAGAGGUGGGCGGAAUUCGUGGUGUAGCGGUGAAAUGCUUAGAUAUCACGAAGAACUCCGAUUGCGAAGGCAGUUCACUGGACUGCAACUGACACUGAGGCUCGAAAGUGUGGGUAUCAAACAGGAUUAGAUACCCCUGUAGUC
This 460-nucleotide ribosomal RNA is filed under the name uncultured bacterium. Its description in RNAcentral is "partial 16S ribosomal RNA". It matches the Rfam family "Bacterial small subunit ribosomal RNA", at positions 338 to 795 of the family's 1533-position model. The record is from RNAcentral.